AUGGAGAGUUUGAUCCUGGCUCAGGACGAACGCUGGCGGCGUGCUUAACACAUGCAAGUCGAACGGGAUCCAUGGAGUAGCAAUACUCCGGAAGAUCUAGUGGCGAACGGGUGAGUAACACGUGAGCAACCUGCCCUAAAGACUGGGAUAACCCCGGGAAACCGGAGCUAAUACCGGAUGUCCUCUUCGGAUCGCAUGGUCUGAUGAGGAAAUGAAUUUCGCUUUAGGAGGGGCUCGCGGGAUAUCAGCUUGUUGGUGGGGUAACGGCCUACCAAGGCUUCGACGUCUAGCUGGUCUGAGAGGACGAUCAGCCACACUGGGACUGAGACACGGCCCAGACUCCUACGGGAGGCAGCAGUGGGGAAUCUUGCCCAAUGGGGGAAACCCUGAGGCAGCAACGCCGCGUGCGGGAUGACGGCCUUCGGGUUGUAAACCGCUUUCAGCAGGGACGAAAUUGACGGUACCUGCAGAAGAAGCUCCGGCCAACUACGUGCCAGCAGCCGCGGUAAUAC
This 512-nucleotide ribosomal RNA is filed under the name Actinomycetota bacterium. Its description in RNAcentral is "bacterial SSU rRNA". It matches the Rfam family "Bacterial small subunit ribosomal RNA", at positions 1 to 526 of the family's 1533-position model. The record is from RNAcentral. Lineage: Bacteria; Bacillati; Actinomycetota.